GGCCUUGUAGUGUAGCGGUUAUCACUUGGGAUUCUGAUUACAUGUUCCCAAGACCCAGGUUCGAGUCCUGGCAUGGCCU
Non-coding RNA from Chiua virens, 79 nucleotides. The record is from the annotation of a GenBank genome assembly. Lineage: Eukaryota; Fungi; Basidiomycota; Agaricomycetes; Boletales; Boletaceae.